RNAcentral lists this ribosomal RNA (460 nucleotides) under uncultured bacterium. RNAcentral describes it as "partial 16S ribosomal RNA". It matches the Rfam family "Bacterial small subunit ribosomal RNA", at positions 338 to 795 of the family's 1533-position model. The record is from RNAcentral.
CCUACGGGUGGCUGCAGUGAGGAAUCUUGGUCAAUGGACGCAAGUCUGAACCAGCCAAGCCGCGUGCAGGAAGACGGCCCUAUGAGUUGUAAACUUCUUUUGUACAAGGGUAAACGCAGAUACGCGUAUCUUUCUGAAAGUACCUUAUGAAUAAGGAUCGGCUAACUCCGUGCCAGCAGCCGCGGUAAUACGGAGGAUUCGAGCGUUAUCUGGAUUUAUUGGGUUUAAAGGGUGCGUAGGCGGUCGGUUAAGUUAGAUGUGAAAUCCUGAGGCUCAACUGUGGAAUUGCAUUUGAUACUGUUAGGCUAGAGAGUAGUUGCGGUAGGCGGAAUGUAUGGUGUAGCGGUGAAAUGCUUAGAGAUCACACAGAACACCGAUUGCGAAGGCGACCUUCUGGAACAUAACUGACGCUGAGGAGCGAAAGCGUGGGUAGCAAACAGGAUUAGAUACCCGAGUAGUC